CACGUAGGGUGCGAGCGUUGUCCGGAAUUAUUGGGCGUAAAGAGCUCGUAGGCGGUGUGUCGCGUCUGCUGUGAAAACUCGGGGCUUAACUCCGGGCCUGCAGUGGGUACGGGCAGACUAGAGUGCGGUAGGGGAGACUGGAACUCCUGGUGUAGCGGUGAAAUGCGUAGAGAUCCGGAGGAACACCAGUGGCGAAGGCGACACGCUGGGCCGUACCUGACACUGAGGCGCGAUAGCAUGGGGAGCAAACAGG
RNAcentral lists this ribosomal RNA (253 nucleotides) under uncultured bacterium. RNAcentral's name for it is "partial 16S ribosomal RNA". It matches the Rfam family "Bacterial small subunit ribosomal RNA", at positions 524 to 776 of the family's 1533-position model. The record is from RNAcentral.